RNAcentral lists this ribosomal RNA (492 nucleotides) under uncultured bacterium. RNAcentral's name for it is "partial 16S ribosomal RNA". It matches the Rfam family "Bacterial small subunit ribosomal RNA", at positions 29 to 507 of the family's 1533-position model. The record is from RNAcentral.
AGUGAACGCUGGCGGUAGGCCUAACACAUGCAAGUCGAACGGCAGCACAGUAAGAGCUUGCUCUUACGGGUGGCGAGUGGCGGACGAGUGAGGAAUACAUCGGAAUCUACUUUUUCGUGGGGGAUAACGUAGGGAAACUUACGCUAAUACCGCAUACGACCUACGGGUGAAAGCAGGGGAUCUUCGGACCUUGCGCGAUUGAAUGAGCCGAUGUCGGAUUAGCUAGUUGGCGGGGUAAAGGCCCACCAAGGCGACGAUCCGUAGCUGGUCUGAGAGGAUGAUCAGCCACACUGGAACUGAGACACGGUCCAGACUCCUAUGGGAGGCAGCAGUGGGGAAUAUUGGACAAUGGGCGCAAGCCUGAUCCAGCCAUACCGCGUGGGUGAAGAAGGCCUUCGGGUUGUAAAGCCCUUUUGUUGGGAAAGAAAAGCAGCAGGUUAAUACCCCGCUGUUCUGGCGGUACCCAAAGAAUAAGCACCGGCUAACUUCGUG